GUUGUCGGCCGGACGGUCGCGAUGUGUGGCGCUUCGGCGCUGUGCACCGAGGAAAGUCCGGGCUCCACAGGGUAGACUGCCAGGUAACGCCUGGGCGCAUGCGGCGUGAGCGGUAUGCGACGGACAGUGCAACAGAAAACAAACCGCCGCCGUGCAAACGGCGGUAAGGGUGAAAUGGUGGGGUAAGAGCCCACCGCGUCAUCGGUAACGGUGACGGCUCGGUAAACCCCAGUCGGAGCAAGGCCAAAUAGGCGGCGAGAGACGGCCCGUCUCGACAACGGUGCUUCACGGCAUCGAGCCGCGGGUAGGCUGCUGGAGCGUUCGGGUGACUGAACGCCGAGAGGAAUGACCGUCCGGUAUGUAGGCGCGCAAGCGCACGCAUGCUGACAGAACCCGGCUUACAGGCCGACAACUUCC
Molecule: RNase P RNA, 417 nt
Filed under: Gemmatimonas sp.
Lineage: Bacteria; Pseudomonadati; Gemmatimonadota; Gemmatimonadia; Gemmatimonadales; Gemmatimonadaceae
Also listed under: 1 other name
Description: RNase P RNA component class A
Rfam family: Bacterial RNase P class A
About the family: Ribonuclease P (RNase P) is a ubiquitous endoribonuclease, found in archaea, bacteria and eukarya as well as chloroplasts and mitochondria. Its best characterised activity is the generation of mature 5'-ends of tRNAs by cleaving the 5'-leader elements of precursor-tRNAs. Cellular RNase Ps are ribonucleoproteins.
Source: RNAcentral